This 460-nucleotide ribosomal RNA is filed under the name uncultured bacterium. Its description in RNAcentral is "partial 16S ribosomal RNA". It matches the Rfam family "Bacterial small subunit ribosomal RNA", at positions 338 to 795 of the family's 1533-position model. The record is from RNAcentral.
CCUACGGGUGGCAGCAGUGAGGAAUAUUGGUCAAUGGACGAGAGUCUGAACCAGCCAAGUAGCGUGAAGGAUGACUGCCCUAUGGGUUGUAAACUUCUUUUAUAUGGGAAUAAAACGUUCCACGUGUGGGAUUUUGUAUGUACCAUAUGAAUAAGGAUCGGCUAACUCCGUGCCAGCAGCCGCGGUAAUACGGAGGAUCCGAGCGUUAUCCGGAUUUAUUGGGUUUAAAGGGAGCGUAGGUGGAUUGUUAAGUCAGUUGUGAAAGUUUGCGGCUCAACCGUAAAGUUGCAGUUGAAACUGGCAGUCUUGAGUACAGUAGAGGUGGGCGGAAUUCGUGGUGUAGCGGUGAAAUGCUUAGAUAUCACGAAGAACUCCGAUUGCGAAGGCAGUUCACUGGACUGCAACUGACACUGAGGCUCGAAAGUGUGGGUAUCAAACAGGAUUAGAUACCCUUGUAGUC